UGUGUUUAGGCUGUGCUGGCAGAUGCUCUUGGGGUCAAAGGUGAGGUGAAGAAGGAGAGACGGCUCUUCCUGAUUGGUCAGACCAGAGUUCACCUGGACUCAGUGGAGGGACUGGGACACUACAUGGAGCUGGAGGUUGUGAUGCGCCCAGAGCAGAGUGUGGAGGAGGGGCAGCAGGUGGCAGAGGACCUGAUGCAGCAGCUGGGUGUCUCUCCGCAGAGCUUGGUGACCGGAGCGUACAUGGAUCUGCUGCUGAAGGGACACAAAGAGACGUGAAAGCCGGGCGGUCACGCUGUAAUCAGAUUACUUUUUCUCCAACGUCGACACUUUCUCAAAUAUUUUCUCUGUAAAGUUGCUUUUUUAAAAAAAUAAAAAACAUGUUUUCUGGCUUCAGCUGGAAUGAAACCCAGUCUGAUCUCCUCGUGUUUAACGGUGUGAUUCUGCUGUGAGCUGGUUGCCGUGGCAA
Long non-coding RNA from Salarias fasciatus (jewelled blenny), 466 nucleotides. RefSeq lists it as uncharacterized. The transcript has 3 exons. The record is from RefSeq and is a predicted model, not a curated record. NCBI's taxonomy places the organism in Eukaryota, Metazoa, Chordata, Actinopteri, Blenniiformes, Blenniidae.